Molecule: RNA transcript, 7214 nt
Organism: Peromyscus californicus insignis
Lineage: Eukaryota; Metazoa; Chordata; Mammalia; Rodentia; Cricetidae
Gene: Atg7
Gene name: autophagy related 7
Exons: 19
Source: RefSeq, a predicted model, not a curated record
UAGGGACCCCUUUUUGUUUUUAUCCAUGUGCGCACGCGCGCCGGGCUUCCGCGUUGGUGUGGGCUGGGUUACUACGUCAUUGGGCUGCGCGGCGCGGCUGGAGCUGUGGUUGCCGGAAGUUGAGCGGCGACAGGUAAGAACAGUGGCCAUGGGGGACCCUGGACUGUCCAAGCUGCAGUUCGCCCCCUUUAAUAGUGCCCUGGAUGUUGGCUUCUGGCAUGAACUAACCCAGAAGAAGUUGAACGAGUAUCGCCUGGAUGAGACCCCCAAGGACAUCAGGGGCUACUACUACAAUGGUGACUCUGCUGGCCUGCCCACCCGCCUGACAUUGGAGUUCAGUGCUUUUGACAUGAGUGCCCCCACGCCUGCCCGCUGCUGCCCUGCCAUGGGGACCCUGUACAACACCAACACGCUCGAGGCCUUCAAGACUGCAGACAAGAAGCUCCUCUUGGAACAGUCAGCCAACGAGAUCUGGGAAGCCAUAAAGUCAGGCGCUGCUCUCGAGAACCCCAUGCUCCUCAACAAAUUUCUGCUCUUGACCUUUGCAGACCUGAAGAAGUACCACUUCUACUAUUGGUUUUGCUGCCCCGCCCUCUGUCUUCCUGAGAGCAUCCCUCUAAUCCAGGGACCUGUGGGCUUGGAUCAAAGGCUUUCACCAAAACAGAUACAGGCCCUCGAGCAUGCCUACGAUGAUCUGUGUCAAGCUGAAGGAGUCACGGCCUUACCAUACUUCUUAAUCAAGUACGAUGACAACACUGUGAUGGUCUCCUUGCUCAAACACUACAAUGAUUUCUUCCAAGGUCAAAGGACAAAGAUAACAGUUGGUGUGUACGAUCCCUGUAACCUAGCCCAGUACCCCGGAUGGCCUUUGAGGAAUUUUUUGGUCCUGGCAGCCCACAGAUGGAGCGGCAGUUUCCAGACCGUUGAAGUCCUCUGCUUUCGAGACCGCACCAUGCAGGGGGCGAGAGAUGUGGCACACAGCAUCAUCUUCGAGGUGAAACUUCCAGAAAUGGCAUUUAGCCCAGAUUGUCCUAAAGCAGUUGGCUGGGAGAAGAACCAGAAAGGAGGCAUGGGACCAAGGAUGGUGAACCUCAGCGGAUGCAUGGACCCCAAAAGGCUGGCUGAGUCAUCCGUGGAUCUGAAUCUCAAGUUGAUGUGUUGGCGAUUGGUCCCCACCUUGGACUUGGACAAGGUCGUGUCUGUCAAGUGCCUGUUGCUGGGAGCUGGUACCUUGGGGUGUAAUGUAGCUAGGACACUGAUGGGCUGGGGUGUCAGACAUGUCACAUUUGUGGACAACGCCAAGAUCUCCUACUCCAACCCUGUGAGGCAGCCUCUGUAUGAAUUUGAAGAUUGUCUGGGGGGUGGCAGGCCCAAGGCCCUGGCUGCAGCAGAGCGGCUCCAGAAAAUAUUUCCCGGAGUGAAUGCCAGUGGGUUCAACAUGAGCAUCCCCAUGCCAGGACAUCCUGUGAAUUUCUCUGACGUCACGAUGGAGCAGGCCCGCAGAGAUGUGGAGCAGCUGGAGCAGCUCAUCGAGAGCCAUGAUGUCAUCUUCCUGCUAAUGGACACCAGAGAGAGCCGGUGGCUUCCUGCUGUCAUUGCAGCCAGCAAGCGGAAGCUCGUCAUCAACGCUGCCUUGGGGUUUGACACCUUUGUUGUCAUGAGACACGGCCUGAAGAAACCCAAGCCACAGGGAGCUGGGGACCUGUGCCCAAGCCACCUUAUGGCACCUGCUGACCUGGGCUCCUCGCUCUUUGCUAACAUCCCUGGAUACAAGCUUGGCUGCUAUUUCUGCAAUGAUGUAGUGGCUCCAGGAGAUUCAACCAGAGACCGGACACUGGACCAGCAGUGCACGGUGAGCCGCCCAGGCCUGGCCGUGAUUGCAGGUGCCCUGGCUGUGGAGCUGAUGGUUUCUGUCCUGCAGCAUCCUGAGGGGGGCUAUGCCAUCGCCAGCAGCAGUGACGACCGCAUGAAUGAGCCUCCCACCUCUCUGGGGCUUGUGCCUCACCAGAUCCGGGGAUUUUCUGUCACGGUUCGAUAAUGUCCUUCCUGUCAGCCUGGCAUUUGACAAAUGUACAGCCUGUUCACCCAAAGUUCUUGAUCAAUACGAGCGGGAAGGAUUUGCUUUCCUAGCGAAGGUGUUUAACUCCUCACAUUCCUUCUUAGAAGACCUGACUGGACUUACACUUCUCCAUCAAGAGACCCAAGCUGCAGAGUUAAACUGCCUAACUAGUUGGCUGGAAACAGUGGCCUCUGGAGUACCGGUCAAACUAUGAAAAGGAGAGCCAUCCUAAGGCAGAGGUGACCUGCCUUGCAUCUCGGCCGGGUGACCUCCAAGCCUGAUGCUUCCUUCAGCAUCCCUUCCUUUGACUUUCUCUCGUGCCCUCUUUGAGAGCUCAGCCUCCCCCACAUGGCAACCACACACCAACCCUAAAUCCCUCCGACAUUUGCCUUAUGUAGCGGGCCUUCCACUUCCCCGUGGUGGGAACGGAGGAUGCAGCAGGAGAAACUGUACUCUGGACAGUGAAUUUUGCCCUCUUCCUGGGCUGGCACUAUGUAAUGAGAUCUUCUCAGGCACCCGCAUACCAAAGCACCCAGACCAGGCCCACCGAGGCUUAUGUCAGGGAGCUAACACCCUCAGUUUUCAACGGGUUGAUCAGGACAGCACUCCACCAUCGGUACAGAUAGUGUCACCUCAGUAUUGACGGACAAGCAGCCCCUGCCAUUAGCUCAACAGGGGAGUUCAUGGGUGCUGACCCUCCAGGACAAUUCCUGGGUUCCCCCAGCACCAAAACCUGCCACCAAACCCUCUCUAGAACAGCUCUCCUAUAUAAAAAUCUCUAACGCUGUGUGUUCAUAAUUGCAUCCUGCUCUAAAAAUACCAAUUAAUCUAAACAAAGGAAUAAAGAAAAAGCAUUAGAGAGCUAAAAGAAAACAAGGCAAGAGUCCCAGCUGCUCGGAAGGCUGGAGCAGAAGCAUCGGGAGUUGUCGGCAACACAGACUAUAGAGAGACACAAGCUAUCUGUAGAAGGCGUCGCUGACAGCGAGGAAAGCUUCGGUAGACCACAUCACCAUCUGCACGUGUAGGAAACAGAGAUGCUGGGAUGUGGGGCAGUUACCAGCCAAGAGCCGAGAGGCAGCACCUCGGUCAUUCCCAGAAUGCGGAGUGUUGCUGUGGACAUGGGAGUGGGUGGGAAGGGCACAUGCUGGACGGACAGCUUAGAACAACCUGACUUAAAGUUCAGGCCGUGGAAUGAGCGGAGAUCUCUCUGCUGGGAGUCCCCGAGGACGCUCCCACCAGAGCUGGCUGGGGUAUGAUUGGGAACCUAACGCAUUAAGAUGUUGUGGGCAACGGUUUCCAAUGAUUAAGGUCACAAGCGAAAACAGAACCAUCCUGUGUACUCGCCCUGACGUGUGUCAGAGCUGCUUGUCACACAGGCAGACAACACAUGCUUAGCUGCCCUGAAGACAAGAAACGACAGAGACUUCCAUGAAUUCUCUUAAAAUUUAACCACAGCAUUUCCAUGAAAGUCCAGGGAGGUGCCUUCUGGGAAAGGAGCUUGUUCCAACAGCUCCUCCAUCCUUGAAGGUCACACAAGGAGUGUGGAUUUUAUUCUGUAGUCAAGGAGACACAGCCCAUGGACAAACCCAGUGGUGUCCCACACACAGACUCUGGAAGAAGACCUGUCAACAGAGCUCAGCUUGGCUCCUACUCCUUUCACCGAGGUGCCACCACGGAGGGGCACUCCUGGUGACCUGGAGGGUCCUGUUGUCACCUGCCCUACUCACAGCCCUGUCUAGAAACAACCGACCGAGAAUGACCCAGAGCGGGAGGAUAGAGAGGUAAUCUGAGACUGGCACGGGUCCUGGGCCACCACUCAGAAGUGGGUGAACACAGUGAACCUACUAGCAAGUGGAGCCUGGACAGAGGGGUUGGUGGCGAAUGUGAAGGACACAUGUGGGUGCAGACCUGCUUGUUUUCCCAAGAUGAGAGUGUUUACUUUUUUUUUUUUUAAGAUUUUUAAAAAAUAGCCAGAUGGUGAUAGCACACACAUUUAAUCCCAGCACUCAUGAGGCAGAGCCAAAUAGAUCUCUGUGAGUUCAAGGCCAGAGUGGUCUACAGAGCAAGUUCCAGAACAACCAGGGUAGUUACACAGAGAAACCCUGUCUCAAAAAAAAAAAAAAAAAAAAAAAAAAAAAAAAAAUUAAAAAAUUAAUGUAUAUGGAAUGCUUGCCUACAUGGAUAUAUGUAUGUAUAUGAACCACAUGUGUGCACAGUACCCACAGAGGCCAGAAAGGCCUACCAGAUCCCAUCACGUGAGUGCUUAGAAUUGAACCCUGGUCCCCUGGAAGAGCAAUCAGUGCUCUUAAUGACUGAGUCCUCUCUCCAGCCACAUAUACUGUCCUUUUUCUUUUCUUUUUAUCUGAGAUGGAGUCUGACUGUGUUGCUGGUCUGGAACUCCUGUGCCACCCCAGCAAUUCUCCUGCCUCAGUUUCUCAAAUGCCUGGCUUCACAUCGGCUCCUGUACCACCCAGAGACAUAUCCAGCCUCCUCCCAGCAAUGAUUCUGACACUCACCCCACCGUAUUCAAAGACUUGUUUCCACACGCCUCACAUCAUGUUCUACCGGGACCGAUGCCAGUUGCAGGGGGGAAAAAAAGACAUUUUAUUCACACAGUAACUGUGAAGGCUCAUUCCUCUGAGUCGACACCAAGAUAAGACUGCUUGCUAUCAGGCAGGCCCAUGACGCAGGCUGGAUGAGGUACCUCCACAGAUCCAAGGGGCUCCUGGGGUUUCUGUUCUGGAAGAUGGGGUACAGGGGUGGGGGUGGGCGCACGGGCAGUGACAGUGGACUUUUUGAGCACCGUGGCCGCAGAACACAAGGAGGUACCCUAGGUAAUGCUACCUAAGACAUUACAUGUCUAGCAAUUAUCCUUUUUUUUUGAGAUGGGGUUUCACUAUGUAGUCCUAGCUGGCCUUGAACUCACAAAGAUCUGCUUGCCUCUGCCUCCAGGGUGGUGGGAUUAAAGGCUUGUGCCAUGAAAGCCCAGCUUGUACAAUUCAUCUCCAUGAAAAGGAAGAAAGCUUCAAGGUCUCUUGUUCCUUUCUUAUUCCAGGGGUGACCUAGCCUCUAGGAGUAUCUGGCACUGCACUAGGUACAAGCUUCUGACUGAAGGAGGCCAGCCCUGGCACACAGUGACAGCAACAAUAUCCUAUGGAGAGUGUUGGCUCACCAUGGAGGAGAGGCUUCUGAGCAGCUCAGGAGCCUGCAGGCGAGGCCCUGAGCCCUGGGGCAGGCUGCAGCCCGAGGACUCGGUAAUACGGUAAUUCCCCAUAGCUGACCAGGAGCCACAGAGACAAAUACUCAAGAAACUUGGCCCCAGAAAGGAGGUCUGUGUGGAAAGGGGGUCUACAAUGUGACCCAGGCAGGUGCUCACAUGGAAAAGAGUUGGCCAGCCUGGGUCUUCAUAGUGAGUUCCAGGACAGCCAGCGCUAUACUUAUAUAGUGAGAGCCUGUCUCCAAACACCAAACAAACAAAACAUGAAAGAAAAAAGAGAGAAAAGAUCCUGGGAAAAGUGGCCCCAAAGUAGGAAGGGGACCAAAGGCAGCAAAAGGGGGGUCACAGGAGGGUCAGCCAAGAGACAGGAAGUCACACACAGCGUGGAAUUAUCCGUGUCCCCCAUCUCGGCUACCUGGUAGGUCCCUAGUGAAUGGAAGAAGGGCAAUCUCACUGACCUUGCUGCACUGUGGGCAGAGCACGGGGAGAAGCUGGCCUAGUCUCUCAGUCUCUUGCCCCUCAGCCCUGACAGGUCCCAGUGUUAAUCAGGAAAUGACUCUGCCACUUCAUUUCACAGUCCAGCUUUAAGGGUCUGAAAGGUCACAACGGAGUUCUGAAAUCAAGUGCUCAAGUGCUCGUUUUGUUGGGCAGUGUCCCUGAGAGAGGUUGGGCUCCACAAAGGAUCAACAAUGGAUCCAAACAACAGAUAUCAAAUGACAGUUGUUCUCCACUUGAAGUCCCUGGGAGGCCCAAGACCAGUGUGCAGCGUGGCUGGCGACGCAUGCAGCUCGCAGUCCUCUCCUGAGUCCUCACACAGAAAGAGGGAACCGUGCUGUGGUCUCUUCUUACUAGGGUACUAACCCCACCUGAACAGGGCUCACCCUCCUGGCCUCAUCAGCUCCAAAGACCAUCACACUGGAGGGCAGGGCUUCAACACAUGGAUUGUGGAGGAAUAUUAUCUAGUCUACAACAGAUCCCCCAGUUGUUUCCCUUGGAGAAACUCUGGGCCGAACACUGUCUGGCCUGGAACCUGGUAAGUUACAUAGACAUACCUCCAGGAGUUAGUUCAGCAGCUCCGACAACAGACAACCUCAACAAGCCCUGAGCUUGCCGACCUAAUGAGAGACAACUGACUCCUACAACAUCCAGUUCUGAAACUGUCUCUGUGAGGGUCCGUUAGCUUCCCACCUUCCCUUCUUUUAUUGGAGAUGACUGUUGCUAUGUAGCCCAGGUUGGCCAUGAACUCUCCAAUCCCCUGCGUCAGCUUCCAAGUGCUGGGAUCACAGGUGUGCACCACUGUGCCUGGCAAUCUAGUGCCAUCUCUUAGGUCUCUUCAAGGGAGGCCAGAAGAAGCCUAAGCAGGAGUUGCAGAACAGAGGCCCCACUUCGCCUCUGCCAGCCGGGACGCUGCAAUCCAGAAUGCAGCUCCUCCUUCUAGGUACCUAUCACCAGCCCCAGCACAGUAACACAGCUCCAAGCUCUCUGCCUAUGCUCGGGAGACAACGUGAAGAAAUGGGAGAAUGAAGUGUCUCAGCCCAACAACACAGCACAGCAGGAGACGAGCACUGUGCCACUCAAGUGUAAACACCAGAGGUCCACCAGCUGCCUCCUGCCCUGUGAAGAAAUGCACCAAAGGACCCAGAGGAGAUCCCAGAGGAGAACCACAGGCAGGCCACCCCUCAGCGGUUUCUUAUCUCCCUCCUCCCUCAGUUGGAUCGUUCAGAGACCUAAAAGAACAGCACUUUAUUUCAGGACAGGCCAGCUUUGUGUUCCAGUAAGAAGAGUCGAUGGACAAGUGAUGCCCAGAUUAACCGUCUACAUUCCAAACAGCUGCAAUCCGCGUGCUCAGCUGAGUGCUCGGGGCCUGGAGAGGGAACCAAAGCUCAGGGCUCCUCUGUUCCCCCUACUUUUGAAUAAAUGUCUUUGACCUAACCCACA